This 515-nucleotide ribosomal RNA is filed under the name uncultured bacterium. Its description in RNAcentral is "partial 16S ribosomal RNA". It matches the Rfam family "Bacterial small subunit ribosomal RNA", at positions 28 to 523 of the family's 1533-position model. The record is from RNAcentral.
GAUGAACGCUGGCGGCGUGCCUAAUACAUGCAAGUCGAGCGAAUGGAUUAAGAGCUUGCUCUUAUGAAGUUAGCGGCGGACGGGUGAGUAACACGUGGGUAACCUGCCCAUAAGACUGGGAUAACUCCGGGAAACCGGGGCUAAUACCGGAUAACAUUUUGAACCGCAUGGUUCGAAAUUGAAAGGCGGCUUCGGCUGUCACUUAUGGAUGGACCCGCGUCGCAUUAGCUAGUUGGUGAGGUAACGGCUCACCAAGGCAACGAUGCGUAGCCGACCUGCGAGGGUGAUCGGCCACACCGAGACUGAGACACGGCCCAGACUCAUACGGGAGGCAGCAGUAGGGAAUCUUCCGCAAUGGACGAAAGUCUGACGGAGCAACGCCGCGUGAGUGAUGAAGGCUUUCGGGUCGUAAAACUCUGUUGUUAGGGAAGAACAAGUGCUAGUUGAAUAAGCUGGCACCUUGACGGUACCUAACCAGAAAGCCACGGCUAACUACGUGCCAGCCGCCGCCGUAA